RNAcentral lists this ribosomal RNA (253 nucleotides) under uncultured bacterium. RNAcentral describes it as "partial 16S ribosomal RNA". It matches the Rfam family "Bacterial small subunit ribosomal RNA", at positions 524 to 776 of the family's 1533-position model. The record is from RNAcentral.
UACGUAGGGGGCUAGCGUUGUCCGGAAUCAUUGGGCGUAAAGCGCGUGUAGGCGGCUCGGUAAGUCUGCUGUGAAAGUCCAGGGCUCAACCCUGGGAUGCCGGUGGAUACUGUCGAGCUCGAGUCCGGAAGAGGCGAGUGGAAUUCCUGGUGUAGCGGUGAAAUGCGCAGAUAUCAGGAGGAACACCAAUGGCGAAGGCAGCUCGCUGGGACGUGACUGACGCUGAGACGCGAAAGCGUGGGGAGCGAACAGG